RNAcentral lists this ribosomal RNA (484 nucleotides) under uncultured bacterium. RNAcentral's name for it is "partial 16S ribosomal RNA". It matches the Rfam family "Bacterial small subunit ribosomal RNA", at positions 30 to 507 of the family's 1533-position model. The record is from RNAcentral.
AUUGAACGCUGGCGGCAGGCCUAACACAUGCAAGUCGAGCGGAUGAAGGGAGCUUGCUCCUGGAUUCAGCGGCGGACGGGUGAGUAAUGCCUAGGAAUCUGCCUGGUAGUGGGGGAUAACGUCCGGAAACGGGCGCUAAUACCGCCUACGUCCUGAGGGAGAAAGUGGGGGAUCUUCGGACCUUACGCUAUCAGAUGAGCCUAGGUCGGAUUAGCUAGUUGGUGGGGUAAAGGCCUACCAAGGCGACGAUCCGUAACUGGUCUGAGAGGAUGAUCAGUCACACUGGAACUGAGACACGGUCCAGACUCCUACGGGAGGCAGCAGUGGGGAAUAUUGGACAAUGGGCGAAAGCCUGAUCCAGCCAUGCCGCGUGUGUGAAGAAGGUCUUCGGAUUGUAAAGCACUUUAAGUGGGGAGGAAGGGCAGUAAGUUAAUACCUUGCUGUUUUGACGUUACCAACAGAAUAAGCACCGGCUAACUUCGUG